UACGUAGGGACCAAGCGUUGUUCGGAUUUACUGGGCGUAAAGGGCGCGUAGGCGGCAUGCCAAGUCACUUGUGAAAUCUCCGGGCUUAACUCGGAACGGUCAAGUGAUACUGUCGCGCUAGAGUGCGGAAGGGGCAAUCAGAAUUCUUGGUGUAGCGGUGAAAUGCGUAGAUAUCAAGAGGAAUACCUGAGGUGAAGACGGGUUGCUAGGCCGACACUGACGCUGAAGCGCGAAAGCCAGGGGAGCAAACGGG
RNAcentral lists this ribosomal RNA (253 nucleotides) under uncultured bacterium. Its description in RNAcentral is "partial 16S ribosomal RNA". It matches the Rfam family "Bacterial small subunit ribosomal RNA", at positions 524 to 776 of the family's 1533-position model. The record is from RNAcentral.